AGAUGCAAGCGCUGCUGAGGCAGCCGAAUGUGGCCAGAAACCUGAAAGGUCACGCCGCAACCGCGGUGGUUCAACCCCCAAGUACGAUUCGCAUCCGGCAGCUCGUACGGUCACUACCCAUGUGAUGGAUGC
Molecule: non-coding RNA, 132 nt
Filed under: Pseudomonas aeruginosa 2192
Lineage: Bacteria; Pseudomonadati; Pseudomonadota; Gammaproteobacteria; Pseudomonadales; Pseudomonadaceae
Description: radC RNA
Rfam family: radC RNA
Source: RNAcentral